UCCUCAGUAGUAUAGUGGUUAUUAUUCCGGCCUGUCACGCGAGCGACCGGAGUUCGAUUCCCCGCCGGGGAG
RNAcentral lists this transfer RNA (72 nucleotides) under Cordylochernes scorpioides. RNAcentral describes it as "tRNA-Asp". It matches the Rfam family "tRNA". Rfam says of the family: Transfer RNA (tRNA) molecules are approximately 80 nucleotides in length. Their secondary structure includes four short double-helical elements and three loops (D, anti-codon, and T loops). The record is from RNAcentral. Lineage: Eukaryota; Metazoa; Arthropoda; Arachnida; Pseudoscorpiones; Chernetidae.